RNAcentral lists this unclassified non-coding RNA (353 nucleotides) under soil metagenome. RNAcentral describes it as "partial contains 5.8S ribosomal RNA, internal transcribed spacer 2, and large subunit ribosomal RNA". The stretch from base 1 to 120 matches the Rfam family "5.8S ribosomal RNA", at positions 35 to 154 of the family's 154-position model. The record is from RNAcentral.
GAUGAAGAACGUAGCGAAAUGAGAUAAGUAAUGUGAAUUGCAGAAUUCAGUGAAUCAUCGAAUCUUUGAACGCACAUUGCGCCCGCCAGUAUUCUGGCGGGCAUGCCUGUUCGAGCGUCAUUACAACCCUCAGGCCCCCGGGCCUGGCGUUGGGGAUCGGCGGAAGCCCCCUGCGGGCACAACGCCGUCCCCCAAAUACAGUGGCGGUCCCGCCGCAGCUUCCAUUGCGUAGUAGCUAACACCUCGCAACUGGAGAGCGGCGCGGCCACGCCGUAAAACACCCAACUUCUGAAUGUUGACCUCGAAUCAGGUAGGAAUACCCGCUGAACUUAAGCAUAUCAAUAAGCGGAGGA